Talpa occidentalis (Iberian mole) is the source of this 1273-nucleotide long non-coding RNA. RefSeq lists it as uncharacterized. The record is from RefSeq and is a predicted model, not a curated record. Lineage: Eukaryota; Metazoa; Chordata; Mammalia; Eulipotyphla; Talpidae. The transcript is spliced from 3 exons.
CACAGUUCCGGGAACAGCCAGGCAUGAAGCUCCCUGCAGUGGGGACAGAGACAGGACCACCACCUGAAGGCCGCACACCCACGGCUGGCCUUGGGCCUGGAGCUCUUGCCCACAGCUGUCCUGUGGUAUCUGGUGGUGAUGGACUUUCAGGCGGAAGGACUAUCGUGUACACUAUCUUGUACGAUCAAGUACACAAAUUCGAAAUAGACAGCUGGAGGAAGCCUGUGCAGAGGCACGCAUGCCUACGACCACCACGCAAAUCAACACAGACUGUGCCCAGCGCCCCAGCCGCCCUCCCCGCGACGCCUCUGAGUUUCCAGCCCCGCCGCGCCCUGGGCAGCCGCUCUUCUGCUUCCACCCCACGUGUCAGGCUGGCGAUGCCGCCUUCAUGGCAGCGGGACAGCGAUGCAGCAUCAAGAGCAUUUUGAAGAGCUUUUGCCUCCUUUACAAGGAGUAACUUGCUUGUAAAAGUGUCUUUUGCCUUCAUGCCUGCCUUUUUCUAAGUUUGAGUGAGCCUCCAACAUCGUGAAUUAUCUCUGAAAGUUCCUUUAAUCUGAAGUUUUUUUUGCAAGCGUCACUUCCUCUGAGACAUCAUGGUCCUUUUUGUCACAACUACUUGUUUCUCAUUUAAGUUGCAAGUUUCACCUUCUCUGAGCGCCCUCGGCUGCGGGUCUAGAGUGGUGCCAGCAUUCUGCCUGCCUCCGUCUUCUGUACUCCACUGAUGUUUGAUUGGAAUUUCAAUUCCAACAUCAUAGAUUUCCAUUUCUUUUUUGCACUUUCGACUUUAUUGAUUACUGGUUAUGUAAUAUGUCAUGUGCUUGUGUAACUUGGAGGCAAAGAGGCAACACCACUGCAUGCUUUGCUGUCUUCCCAUGAAACGUGCAGCAGGUGCCCAGUGGACAAUUGCCUACAGACGCCAGAUCAAACGACCCGAUUGGUCACAGAACACGGGGUGCAGCUGCUGUUCACAUAGUGACUUGUGGACUAAAAUGAUAGCAGGGACAUUUGUAUUUUUGCAAUUACAGUUAAAUGCCAUAGUAACUAAAAUUUGAACUGUGCAACUAGGAGACUAGUAUUACUUCUCUAACUGCAGUAACAGAUUGUGAAGUAUUAGAACCACGUGAAAUGAAGCCUGCCUAUAGAAGUCUGCCCUGUUUGUUGCUAUGUACUACUCCACUGUAUGACUGUGUCAUGGUUUAUUUAUCCCUUCGCCUGCUGAUGGACAUUUGGGUUGUUUCUGUUUCUAUUAUGAACGAGGCUGCUAUGAACAUUC